RNAcentral lists this ribosomal RNA (488 nucleotides) under uncultured bacterium. Its description in RNAcentral is "bacterial SSU rRNA". It matches the Rfam family "Bacterial small subunit ribosomal RNA", at positions 24 to 507 of the family's 1533-position model. The record is from RNAcentral.
UCAGAUCGAACGCUGGCGGCAGGCCUAACACAUGCAAGUCGAGCGGUAGAGAGAAGCUUGCUUCUCUUGAGAGCGGCGGACGGGUGAGUAAUGCCUAGGAAUCUGCCUGGUAGUGGGGGAUAACGUUCGGAAACGGACGCUAAUACCGCAUACGUCCUACGGGAGAAAGCAGGGGACCUUCGGGCCUUGCGCUAUCAGAUGAGCCUAGGUCGGAUUAGCUAGUUGGUGAGGUAAUGGCUCACCAAGGCGACGAUCCGUAACUGGUCUGAGAGGAUGGUCAGUCACACUGGAACUGAGACACGGUCCAGACUCCUACGGGAGGCAGCAGUGGGGAAUAUUGGACAAUGGGCGAAAGCCUGAUCCAGCCAUGCCGCGUGUGUGAAGAAGGUCUUCGGAUUGUAAAGCACUUUAAGUUGGGAGGAAGGGCAGUUACCUAAUACGUGAUUGUUUUGACGUUACCGACAGAAUAAGCACCGGCUAACUCUGUG